This 800-nucleotide ribosomal RNA is filed under the name uncultured bacterium. Its description in RNAcentral is "bacterial SSU rRNA". It matches the Rfam family "Bacterial small subunit ribosomal RNA", at positions 86 to 878 of the family's 1533-position model. The record is from RNAcentral.
CGCCGGCGAGUGGCGAACGGGUGAGUAAUGCAUCGGAACGUACCCAGUAGUGGGGGAUAACUUACCGAAAGGUAAGCUAAUACCGCAUACGCACUGAGGUGGAAAGCAGGGGACCGCAAGGCCUUGCGCUAUUGGAGCGGCCGAUGUCGGAUUAGCUAGUUGGUGGGGUAAAGGCCUACCAAGGCGACGAUCCGUAGCGGGUCUGAGAGGAUGAUCCGCCACACUGGAACUGAGACACGGUCCAGACUCCUACGGGAGACAGCAGUGGGGAAUUUUGGACAAUGGGCGCAAGCCUGAUCCAGCCAUGCCGCGUGAGUGAAGAAGGCCUUCGGGUUGUAAAGCUCUUUCGGCCGGGAAGAAAUCGUGGUGGCGAAUACCUGCCAUGGACGACGGUACCGGACUAAGAAGCACCGGCUAACUACGUGCCAGCAGCCGCGGUAAUACGUAGGGUGCGAGCGUUAAUCGGAAUUACUGGGCGUAAAGCGUGCGCAGGCGGUUGUGUAAGACAGGCGUGAAAUCCCCGGGCUCAACCUGGGAACUGCGCUUGUGACUGCACGGCUAGAGUACGGCAGAGGGGGGGGUGGAAUUCCACGUGUAGCAGUGAAAUGCGUAGAGAUGUGGAGGAACACCGAUGGCGAAGGCAGCCCCCUGGGUCGAUACUGACGCUCAUGCACGAAAGCGUGGGGAGCAAACAGGAUUAGAUACCCUGGUAGUCCACGCCCUAAACGAUGUCGACUAGUUGUUGGGAGGGGUAAAACCCUUUAGUAACGUAGCUAACGCGUGAAGUCGACCGCCUGGGG